CCUACGGGUGACAGCAGUGAGGAAUAUUGGUCAAUGGGCGCAAGCCUGAACCAGCCAAGUCGCGUGAGGGAUGACGGUCCUAUGGAUUGUAAACCUCUUUUGUCGGGGAGCAAGGCUCGCCACGUGUUGCUUGAAGGAGAGUACCCGAAGAAAAAGCAUCGGCUAACGCCGUGCCAGCAGCCGCGGUAAGACGUAGGAUGCGAGCGUUAUCCGGAUUUAUUGGGUUUAAAGGGUGCGUAGGCGGAAGGUUAAGUCAGCGGUCAAAUGUCGGUGCUGAACACCGGCCUGCCGUUGAAACUGGUCUUCUUGAGUGAGCGAGAAGUAUGCGGAAUGCGUGGUGUAGCGGUGAAAUGCACAGAUAUAACGCAGAACUCAGAUUGCGAAGGCAGCAUACCGGCGCUCAACUGACGCUGAGGCACGACAGCGUGGGGAUCGAACAGGAUUAGAUACCCCGGUAGCG
RNAcentral lists this ribosomal RNA (460 nucleotides) under uncultured bacterium. Its description in RNAcentral is "partial 16S ribosomal RNA". It matches the Rfam family "Bacterial small subunit ribosomal RNA", at positions 338 to 795 of the family's 1533-position model. The record is from RNAcentral.